CAGGGGUGUCGAAGGACUCAUUCAACAUUUGAAUGAUCUUCUCUGGCUGCGCAUCCUCGAAUUUAUGACUAAAUUCAUCAUUCAUGGCUGCCCUCAUCAUGCAACGCACAGUCAUGCGAUCAUUGAGCCACUUCAUAUAAGUGUCUCUCGUGGUACGAGGAGCAUUAGCUGCAGAUUUUUUAGGUGCCUAAUCCGUAAGGACGUGCAAAAUCCUCUCAUACUCCAAGA
Molecule: long non-coding RNA, 228 nt
Filed under: Elaeis guineensis (African oil palm)
Lineage: Eukaryota; Viridiplantae; Streptophyta; Magnoliopsida; Arecales; Arecaceae
Description: long non-coding RNA (EGUI_LNC053141)
Source: RNAcentral